CUACGGAGGGUGCAAGCGUUAUUCGGAAUCACUGGGCGUAAAGGACGCGUAGGCGGGUUGGCAAGUCAGAUGUGAAAUCCUACAGCUUAACUGUAGAACUGCAUUUGAAACUGCUAACCUAGAGUAUGGGAGGGGGAGAUGGAAUUAGUGGUGUAGGGGUAAAACCCGUAGAUAUCACUAGGAAUACCGAAAGCGAAGGCGAUCUCCUGGAACAUAACUGACGCUAAGGCGUGAAAGCGUGGGGAGCAAACAGGAUUAGAAACCCGUGUAGUCC
Molecule: ribosomal RNA, 274 nt
Filed under: uncultured bacterium
Lineage: Bacteria
Description: partial 16S ribosomal RNA
Rfam family: Bacterial small subunit ribosomal RNA
Source: RNAcentral